GUGAAUCAUCGAAUUUUUGAACGCAUAUUGCACUUUCUGGUAUUCCGGUGAGUAUGCCUGUUUGAGGGUAAUUAAAAAGAAUCUUUAACCAAUUUUUUUUGGUCAAAGGAAAUGAGCUUUACGUGUUUAUAGUGGUAGCUUGAAAUAAAUGGCCAAGUCCCAUUUUAGUCGAGAAGUGUAAUAAUAUUAUUUCGUGAAUUCUUUAUUAUGAGACUAUUCAGGUUUGAUGCAUACAAAUUUGCUUUGAAUGCGAUCAAUACAAAAAUUUUGAACAUUACCUAAAAA
Molecule: unclassified non-coding RNA, 285 nt
Filed under: Ambisporaceae sp.
Lineage: Eukaryota; Fungi; Glomeromycota; Glomeromycetes; Archaeosporales; Ambisporaceae
Description: partial contains 5.8S ribosomal RNA and internal transcribed spacer 2
Rfam family: 5.8S ribosomal RNA (bases 1-71)
Source: RNAcentral